This 1014-nucleotide ribosomal RNA is filed under the name Cocoonihabitus sinensis. Its description in RNAcentral is "SSU rRNA". It matches the Rfam family "Eukaryotic small subunit ribosomal RNA", at positions 76 to 1101 of the family's 1831-position model. The record is from RNAcentral. Lineage: Eukaryota; Fungi; Ascomycota; Sordariomycetes; Hypocreales.
AUACCGCGAAACUGCGAAUGGCUCAUUAUAUAAGUUAUCGUUUAUUUGAUAGUACCUUACUACUUGGAUAACCGUGGUAAUUCUAGAGCUAAUACAUGCUGAAAAUCCCGACUUCGGAAGGGAUGUAUUUAUUAGAUUAAAAACCAAUGCCCUCUGGGCUCACUGGUGAUUCAUGAUAACUUCUCGAAUCGCAUGGCCUUGCGCCGGCGAUGUCUCAUUCAAAUUUCUUCCCUAUCAACUUUCGAUGUUUGGGUAUUGGCCAAACAUGGUCGCAACGGGUAACGGAGGGUUAGGGCUCGACCCCGGAGAAGGAGCCUGAGAAACGGCUACUACAUCUAAGGAAGGCAGCAGGCGCGCAAAUUACCCAAUGCCGACACGGCGAGGUAGUGACAAUAAAUACUGAUACAGGGCUCUUUUGGGUCUUGUAAUUGGAAUGAGUACAAUUUAAAUCCCUUAACGAGGAACAAUUGGAGGGCAAGUCUGGUGCCAGCAGCCGCGGUAAUUCCAGCUCCAAUAGCGUAUAUUAAAGUUGUUGUGGUUAAAAAGCUCGUAGUUGAACCUUGGGCCUGGCUGGCCGGUCCGCCUCACCGCGUGUACUGGUCCGGCCGGGCCUUUCCCUCUGUGGAACCUCAUGCCCUUCACUGGGUGUGCUGGGGAAACAGGACUUUUACUUUGAAAAAAUUAGAGUGCUCCAGGCAGGCCUAUGCUCGAAUACAUUAGCAUGGAAUAAUGAAAUAGGACGUGCGGUUCUAUUUUGUUGGUUUCUAGGACCGCCGUAAUGAUUAAUAGGGACAGUCGGGGGCAUCAGUAUUCAAUUGUCAGAGGUGAAAUUCUUGGAUUUAUUGAAGACUAACUACUGCGAAAGCAUUUGCCAAGGAUGUUUUCAUUAAUCAGGAACGAAAGUUAGGGGAUCGAAGACGAUCAGAUACCGUCGUAGUCUUAACCAUAAACUAUGCCGACUAGGGAUCGGACGACGCUUUUUCUUGGCUCGUUCGGCACCUUACGAGAAAUCAA